UACGGGGGAUGCAAGCGUUAUCCGGAAUUAUUGGGCGUAAAGGGUCCGCAGGGGGUGAAUCAAGUCUGUUGUCAAAGCGUGGAUCUUAACUCCAUAAGGGCAAUGGAAACUGAUUGACUAGAGUACAGUAGGGGUUGCGGGAAUUCCCAGUGUAGCGGUGAAAUGCGUAGAUAUUGGGAAGAACACCAGCGGCGAAGGCGCGCGACUGGACUGAGACUGACACUGAGGGACGAAAGCUAGGGGAGCGAAAGGG
RNAcentral lists this ribosomal RNA (253 nucleotides) under uncultured bacterium. Its description in RNAcentral is "partial 16S ribosomal RNA". It matches the Rfam family "Bacterial small subunit ribosomal RNA", at positions 524 to 776 of the family's 1533-position model. The record is from RNAcentral.